This 497-nucleotide ribosomal RNA is filed under the name uncultured bacterium. Its description in RNAcentral is "partial 16S ribosomal RNA". It matches the Rfam family "Bacterial small subunit ribosomal RNA", at positions 28 to 507 of the family's 1533-position model. The record is from RNAcentral.
GAUGAACGCUGGCGGCGUGCCUAAUACAUGCAAGUCGAGCGAACAGACGAGGAGCUUGCUCCUCUGACGUUAGCGGCGGACGGGUGAGUAACACGUGGAUAACCUACCUAUAAGACUGGGAUAACUUCGGGAAACCGGAGCUAAUACCGGAUAAUAUAUUGAACCGCAUGGUUCAAUAGUGAAAGACGGUUUUGCUGUCACUUAUAGAUGGAUCCGCGCCGCAUUAGCUAGUUGGUAAGGUAACGGCUUAUCAAGGCAACGAUGCGUAGCCGACCUGAGAGGGUGAUCGGCCACACUGGAACUGAGACACGGUCCAGACUCCUACGGGAGGCAGCAGUAGGGAAUCUUCCGCAAUGGGCGAAAGCCUGACGGAGCAACGCCGCGUGAGUGAUGAAGGUCUUCGGAUCGUAAAACUCUGUUAUUAGGGAAGAACAAAUGUGUAAGUAACUAUGCACGUCUUGACGGUACCUAAUCAGAAAGCCAUGGCUAACUACGUG